This 74-nucleotide transfer RNA is filed under the name Rhodococcus opacus. Its description in RNAcentral is "tRNA-Ile". It matches the Rfam family "tRNA". Rfam says of the family: Transfer RNA (tRNA) molecules are approximately 80 nucleotides in length. Their secondary structure includes four short double-helical elements and three loops (D, anti-codon, and T loops). The record is from RNAcentral. Lineage: Bacteria; Bacillati; Actinomycetota; Actinomycetes; Mycobacteriales; Nocardiaceae.
GGGGCGGUAGCUCAGUCGGUGAGAGGCGUGGACUCAUAAUCCAUUGGUCGCGGGUUCGAGCCCCGCCCGCCCCA